RNAcentral lists this ribosomal RNA (1465 nucleotides) under uncultured bacterium. RNAcentral's name for it is "bacterial SSU rRNA". It matches the Rfam family "Bacterial small subunit ribosomal RNA". The record is from RNAcentral.
AGAGUUUGAUCAUGGCUCAGAACGAACGCUGGCGGUGUGCCUAACACAUGCAAGUCGAACGGUCACUUCGGUGAUAGUGGCGGACGGGUGAGUAAUACGUAGAUAAUCUGCCCUAAAGUGGGGGAUAACUAAUCGAAAGAUUAGCUAAUACCGCAUAAAGUGGAUGGCUGGGAUGCUGUCCAAUAAAGGAGAAAUCCGCUUAUGGAGGAGUCUAUGGCUGAUUAGCUAGUUGGUGGGGUAAAGGCUUACCAAGGCGAUGAUCGGUAGCUGGUCUGAGAGGACGAUCAGCCACACUGGGACUGAGACACGGCCCAGACUUCUACGGAAGGCAGCAGUGGGGAAUUUUCCGCAAUGGGCGAAAGCCUGACGGAGCGACACCGCGUGGAGGAUGAAGUUUUUCGGAAUGUAAACUCCUUUCGACAGGGACGAAAAAAAUGACGGUACCUGUAUAAGAAGCAUCGGCUAACUACGUGCCAGCAGCCGCGGUAAUACGUAGGAUGCAAGCGUUGUUCGGAAUUACUGGGCGUAAAGAGUACGUAGGCGGUUUGAUAAGUCUUUUAUUAAAGACCGAAGCUCAACUUCGGGAAUGUAAAGGAAACUGUCAGACUAGAGGUCAGAAGGAGAAAUCGGAAUUCUUAGUGUAGCGGUGAAAUGCGUAGAUAUUAGGAAGAACACCAGUGGCGAAAGCGGAUUUCUGGUCUGAAACUGACGCUGAGGUACGAAGGCGUGGGGAGCAAACGGGAUUAGAUACCCCGGUAGUCCACGCGGUAAACGAUGGAUACUAGGUGUAAUGGGAAUCGACCCCUGUUGUGCCGAAGCUAACGCGAUAAGUAUCCCGCCUGGGGAGUAUGGCCGCAAGGUUGAAACUCAAAGGAAUUGACGGGGGCCCGCACAAGCGGUGGAGGAUGUGGUUUAAUUCGACGCAACGCGAAGAACCUUACCAAGACUUGACAUGGUGCAAAUGUUUUAGAAAUAAGAUAGUGCUCGAAAGAGAAUGUACACACAGGUGGUGCAUGGCUGUCGUCAGCUCGUGUCGUGAGAUGUUGAGUUAAGUCCCGCAACGAGCGCAACCCUCGGUGCCAGUUACCAUCAUUAAGUUGGUGACUCUGGCGCGACUGCCGGUGAUAAGCCGGAGGAAGGUGAGGACGACGUCAAGUCAUCAUGCCCCUUACGUCUUGGGCUACACACGUCCUACAAUGGUAUAGACAAAGAGCUGCAAGGUAGUAAUGCCAAGCGAAUCUCAUAAACUGUAUCUCAGUUCGGAUUGUGGGCUGAAACUCGCCCACAUGAAGUCGGAAUCGCUAGUAACCGUAGAUCAGCAUGCUACGGUGAAUACGUUCCCGGGCCUUGUACACACCGCCCGUCACACCAUGGGAGUGGAAUCUGCCAGAAGUAGGUAGCCUAACCGUAGGGAGGGCGCUUACCACGGUGGGUUUCAUGACUGGGGUGAAGUCGUAACAAGGUA